UACGUAGGUCGCAAGCGUUGUCCGGAUUUACUGGGCGUAAAGAGCGCGCAGGCGGCUGGUCAAGUCCGAUGUGAAAUCUCCCGGCUUAACUGGGAAACUGCAUCGGAAACUGAUCGGCUUGAAGGUGGGAGAGGGUAGUGGAAUUCCCGGUGUAGUGGUGAAAUGCGUAGAUAUCGGGAGGAACACCAGUGGCGAAGGCGGCGCUCUGGGCUGGAACUGACGCUGAGGAGCGAAAGCGUGGGGAGCGAACAGG
RNAcentral lists this ribosomal RNA (253 nucleotides) under uncultured bacterium. Its description in RNAcentral is "partial 16S ribosomal RNA". It matches the Rfam family "Bacterial small subunit ribosomal RNA", at positions 524 to 776 of the family's 1533-position model. The record is from RNAcentral.